Molecule: ribosomal RNA, 327 nt
Filed under: uncultured eukaryote
Lineage: Eukaryota
Description: partial 18S ribosomal RNA
Rfam family: Eukaryotic small subunit ribosomal RNA
Source: RNAcentral
CCCUUAGAUGUUCUGGGCCGCACGCGCGCUACACUGACGAAUGCAACGAGCUUAUAACCUUGGCCGAAAGGUCUGGGUAAUCUCCAAAUUUCGUCGUGAUGGGGAUAGAUUAUUGCAAUUAUUAAUCUUCAACGAGGAAUGCCUAGUAAGCGUAAGUCAUCAGCUUGCGUUGAUUACGUCCCUGCCCUUUGUACACACCGCCCGUCGCUCCUACCGAUUGAAUGGUCCGGUGAAGCGUUCGGACCGUGGCCUUUGGACGGUUCGCCGUCUGUUGGCUGCGGGAAGUUCGUUAAACCUUAUCAUUUAGAGGAAGGAGAAGUCGUAACA